UACGUAGGUGGCAAGCGUUGUCCGGAUUUACUGGGCGUAAAGGGCGUGCAGGCGGUUUGUUAAGUGCAGGGUGAAGGCUCCCGGCUCAACUGGGAGAGGUCCUUGCAUACUGGCGAACUCGAGGGAGGCAGAGGAAAGUGGAAUUCCCGGUGUAGUGGUGAUAUGCGUAGAUAUCGGGAGGAACACCUGUGGCGAAGGCGGCUUUCUGGGCCUUACCUGACGCUGAGACGCGAAAGCGUGGGGAGCGAACCGG
Molecule: ribosomal RNA, 253 nt
Filed under: uncultured bacterium
Lineage: Bacteria
Description: partial 16S ribosomal RNA
Rfam family: Bacterial small subunit ribosomal RNA
Source: RNAcentral